AGAGUUUGAUCCUGGCUCAGAACGUACGCUGGCGGCACGCCUAAUACAUGCAAGUCGAACGAAGUAGCAAUACUUAGUGGCAGACGGGUGAGUAACAUGUGGGUAUCUUCCCUUUGGUGAGGAAUAACACGAGGAAACUUGUGCUAAUACCUCAUAAGUCUUUACGGAGAAAGCUUUAUGCGCCAUUGGAUGAGCCUGCACUUGAUUAGUUUGUUGGUGGGGUAAUGGCCUACCAAGACAAUGAUCAAUAGCUGAUUUGAGAGGAUGAUCAGCCACAUUGGGACUGAGACACGGCCCAAACUCCUACGGGAGGCGGCAGUGGGGAAUCUUGCACAAUGGAGGAAACUCUGAUGCAGCGAUGCCGCGUGAGUGAAGAAGGCCUUUGGGUUGUAAAGCUCUUUCGUCGGGGAAGAAAAUGACUGUACCCGAAUAAGAAGGUCCGGCUAACUUCGUGCCAGCAGCCGCGGUAAUACGAAGGGACCUAGCGUAGUUCGGAAUUACUGGGCUUAAAGAGUUCGUAGGUGGUUGAAAAAGUUGGUGGUGAAAUCCCAGAGCUUAACUCUGGAACUGCCAUCAAAACUUUUCAGCUAGAGUAUGAUAGAGGAAAGCAGAAUUUCUAGUGUAGAGGUGAAAUUCGUAGAUAUUAGAAAGAAUACCAAUUGCGAAGGCAGCUUUCUGGAUCAUUACUGACACUGAGGAACGAAAGCAUGGGUAGCGAAGAGGAUUAGAUACCCUCGUAGUCCAUGCCGUAAACGAUGUGUGUUAGACGUUGGAAAUUUAUUUUCAGUGUCGCAGCGAAAGCGAUAAACACACCGCCUGGGGAGUACGACCGCAAGGUUAAAACUCAAAUGAAUUGACGGGGACCCGCACAAGUAGUGGAGCAUGUGGUUUAAUUCGAAGAUACGCGCAGAACCUUACCAACACUUGACAUGUUCGUCGCGACUUUAAGAGAUUAAAGUUUUCGGUUCGGCCGGACGAAACACAGGUGCUGCAUGGCUGUCGUCAGCUCGUGUCGUGAGAUGUUGGGUUAAGUCCCGCAACGAGCGCAACCCUCACUUUUAGUUGCCAUCAUUAAGUUGGGCACUCUGAAAGAACUGCCAGUGAUAAGCUGGAGGAAGGUGGGGAUGACGUCAAGUCCUCAUGGCCCUUACGUGUUGGGCUACACACGUGCUACAAUGGUAUCUACAACAGGAAGCAAGACGGCGACGUUAAGCAAAUCCUUAAAAGAUACCUCAGUUCGGAUUGCACUCUGCAACUCGAGUGCAUGAAGCUGGAAUUACUAGUAAUCGUGGAUCAGCGUGCCACGGUGAAUGCGUUCCCGGGUCUUGUACACACCGCCCGUCACACCAUGGGAGUUGGUUCUACCUUAAGGCAAGGUUUCAAACCCUUGACCACGGUAUAGUCAGCGACUGGGGUGAAGUCGUAACAAGGUAACC
RNAcentral lists this ribosomal RNA (1436 nucleotides) under uncultured bacterium. RNAcentral's name for it is "bacterial SSU rRNA". It matches the Rfam family "Bacterial small subunit ribosomal RNA". The record is from RNAcentral.